GACGAACGCUGGCGGCGUGCCUAAUACAUGCAAGUUGAGCGCUGAAGGUUGGUACUUGUACCGACUGGAUGAGCAGCGAACGGGUGAGUAACGCGUGGGGAAUCUGCCUUUGAGCGGGGGACAACAUUUGGAAACGAAUGCUAAUACCGCAUAAAAACUUUAAACACAAGUUUUAAGUUUGAAAGAUGCAAUUGCAUCACUCAAAGAUGAUCCCGCGUUGUAUUAGCUAGUUGGUGAGGUAAAGGCUCACCAAGGCGAUGAUACAUAGCCGACCUGAUAGGGUGAUCGGCCACAUUGGGACUGAGACACGGCCCAAACUCCUACGGGAGGCAGCAGUAGGGAAUCUUCGGCAAUGGACGAAAGUCUGACCGAGCAACGCCGCGUGAGUGAAGAAGGUUUUCGGAUCGUAAAACUCUGUUGGUAGAGAAGAACGUUGGUGAGAGUGGAAAGCUCAUCAAGUGACGGUAACUACCCAGAAAGGGACGGCUAACUACGUG
Molecule: ribosomal RNA, 497 nt
Filed under: uncultured bacterium
Lineage: Bacteria
Description: partial 16S ribosomal RNA
Rfam family: Bacterial small subunit ribosomal RNA
Source: RNAcentral